CAAGGGCAGAUAACUCUUUUUCGAAUCCGGUGACCUAUGAUUUUUAUUGCAUUUUUUUGUUUCUUAGAUGAUUGUCCUUCAAUAUCCAAAGUUUAAAGAAAUUCUGUUAUUGGGAAAAUUUUCGCCAAUCUCAUAUACAGGGAAUUCUAGCGUACACCUUUAAGCUUGAGUUCACUCGAAUGUCUAUUUUCACCAUACAAAUAAAAUUGAAUGAAAAUGUUUGCAAAUUGCAUCAAAGGAAGCAAUUGCUGAUCAAUAACUGUGCAGAAUGUGUUGUAAGGUCUAACAGUUAACUCUUCUUAGGACUGUUAGGAUCCUUAUUUAUGUUUUUGAUCAUUCAUUGGAGUUGUGGAAAUGAAUUUUCAAAUAACUACAAAGAAUGGGGAUGGGGUGGGGGAGGGGGAGGUGGGCGGCGGGGUGGGGGGUUACAUGGCUGAGUGGUUAAGGUCAGUGACUUCAAAUCACUUGCCUCUCACUGAUUUAGGUUUGAGCCUUACUCGUGGCAUUGAAUUCUUUGUAUGUGGAAGCCAUACAGCUGGCUUACGGAAGGCCGGUUGUUCUACCCAGGUGCCCGUUCAUGAUGAAAUAAUGAACCUGAGGUCUUCCUCCACCAUCAAAGCUGGAAAGUCACCAUAUGACCCAUAAGUGUGUGGGUGCAACAUUAAACCCAACAAAAACAAAUAACUACACAAAAAUGUUCACUAUCAUCAUGCAACAAAAGGCUGAAGGUCAAGGUCACACUUGAAGGUUUUUAAAAAGUCCAAUGUCCACCCCAUAUUUUCUAAACCAUAGAUAAAACAAUUUUCAUAAAACCAGCAUUAGUUAAUUACUUCCGAAAGAUGAUGAGCAGAAGGCACAGCCAAGGUCACUAGCUCUAACGUAAGGUCAAACUUAAAGGUCAUUUUUCAAAUAGCUUUAUUAUACGCUUACCAAAGUAUGAUGAGAUUUAUAAGAACCAAAUUGUCCAAUUUCAGAAUCCCUGCUAUGCCCCAUCCCAUCUCACAAAUAUCAGGUCCCAUAACAGAGACUUAUUUUGACAAAUGUUUUCCCCUUUUCUCUUAAAAUAUUUCCCAUAAUUGCUAUUUCUUUUAAUAUUUCUGAAAACAAUGUUUGCAUUUGAUUGAAAUGUCACACAGAUCUUUGAGGUCAUUAUUAAGUUUAUACAUCUUUAUUUAAUCAAAAAUUCUCACAUUUUUGACUUGUAAAAAUGUGGCAAAAUUGUUGUUUUCUUUGAACAUCUCUGAAACCAUUGAACAUAUUGCAUACUCAUUAGGAACUACAAAACAGGUUUAACUGAUCAAAAUUCAAGUUCACAUAGCAAGUCGAAUAACUCUGACUUCCGUUUUUGACAAAAGUUCCCUUUUUUGCACUUCAGAAAUGUCAAGAACAUAGAAUUUUCUUUUAUACUAUUAAAGCCUUCUUGCACUGGAUUGAAAAUUUACAUUUGUCUUUGAUCAUAAUGUAAUUAUACACAUCACAUGUUUUUUUUAUUUCACUCAGCUAGACCAGAUUUUAUGACUUUUGACUUGAAAUAUGCAUAAAGGAUCUAAAGGUUUGUGUCGCGUGUAUCUCAAUGAACUAUUUAUUCUAGGUUAAUGAUAGGAAUGUUAUUCAGCAUUGAAAGUUGUGCACCUUGAAUUUUUUUUUUGAUUUCUCUCAGCCAGACCAGAGUUAUGGAUCUUGAUAUAGAGUCUAAAUAGGACCUAAAAGUUAGUUUCACAGGUAUCUCAAAACGAUUUGGUCAAGAGUCAUAAAAUGUUAUGGGAUUGUUAUUCAGAAUAUAGUUAUACCUCUUAUGAUAGCUUAUACAUCAGAUGUGUUUGUUGUAAAUUUCUGAUAAUAUCAUUAUCCUUAAAGGAAUUACUUAUCAAACUGAACUGUUAUAUAGCCGAAACAAUGUAGUGUUUGCAAUCAUCAUAUUGCAGAAUAAUUCUGUUUUCUUUUUUUGCACCGUAAAACCCAAAUAAAUAAAUUUUUAAUUAGUUCAGGUAUUGAUUGUAAAGAAAGGUUGAGAAUAUUAGCUCAAAUUGUUAGAAAAUCAACUUUGUGAUGUAGUAUUAUCUAAAUAAAAAGAAAAAUGAUGAA
Long non-coding RNA from Mercenaria mercenaria, 2085 nucleotides. RefSeq lists it as uncharacterized. The record is from RefSeq and is a predicted model, not a curated record. The transcript has 2 exons. Lineage: Eukaryota; Metazoa; Mollusca; Bivalvia; Venerida; Veneridae.